AAAACAUCGCCUCUUGAAAAACAUAAGAGGUCCAGCCUGCCCAGUGACUCUGUUCAACGGCCGCGGUAUCCUAACCGUGCGAAGGUAGCGUAAUCACUUGCCCUUUAAAUGAGGGCUAGUAUGAAUGGCAUCACGAAAGUUGUACUGUCUCCUUCCCCUAAUCAGUGAAACUAAUCUCCCCGUGAAGAAGCGAGGAUACUUAUAUAAGACGAGAAGACCCUAUGGAGCUUUAAACCAAGCAUCAACUGCCGCUAUAAACCUACAAUUCCAGAAAUAUAAUUUGUACGCUAGCAUAGUGUAAUGCUGGUUUUAGGUUGGGGUGACCACGGAGUAAAAACAAACCUCCGUGUUGAAUCAGGACCUCCUUAAGCAAUAAGCCACAACUUUAUGCAUCAACAAAUUGACAUAAUUGACCCAAUUCUUUGAUCAACGAACCAAGUUACCCUAGGGAUAACAGCGCAAUCCAUUUCAAGAGCCCCUAUCGACAAAUGGGUUUACGACCUCGAUGUUGGAUCAGGACAUCCUAGUGGUGCAGCCGCCACUAAAGGUUCGUUUGUUCAACGAUUAAAGUCCUA
Molecule: ribosomal RNA, 575 nt
Filed under: Gastrotheca cornuta (horned marsupial frog)
Lineage: Eukaryota; Metazoa; Chordata; Amphibia; Anura; Hemiphractidae
Description: partial 16S ribosomal RNA
Rfam family: Bacterial large subunit ribosomal RNA
Source: RNAcentral